CAGCAGCCGCGGGAAUACGGAGGGUGCAAGCGUUAAUCGGAAUUACUGGGCGUAAAGCGCACGCAGGCGGUCUGUCAAGUCAGAUGUGAAAUCCCCGGGCUUAACCUGGGAACUGCAUUUGAAACUGGCAGGCUGGAGUCUUGUAGAGGGGGGUAGAAUUCCAGGUGUAGCGGUGAAAUGCGUAGAGAUCUGGAGGAAUACCGGUGGCGAAGGCGGCCCCCUGGACAAAGACUGACGCUCAGGUGCGAAAGCGUGGGGAGCAAACAGGAUUAGAUACCCCAGUAGUCCCUGUCUCUUAUAC
Molecule: ribosomal RNA, 301 nt
Filed under: uncultured bacterium
Lineage: Bacteria
Description: partial 16S ribosomal RNA
Rfam family: Bacterial small subunit ribosomal RNA
Source: RNAcentral